This 540-nucleotide ribosomal RNA is filed under the name Salmonella enterica subsp. enterica serovar Mississippi. RNAcentral's name for it is "partial 23S ribosomal RNA". It matches the Rfam family "Bacterial large subunit ribosomal RNA", at positions 665 to 1203 of the family's 2925-position model. Lineage: Bacteria; Pseudomonadati; Pseudomonadota; Gammaproteobacteria; Enterobacterales; Enterobacteriaceae. The record is from RNAcentral.
GCCGCAGGGAAACCGAGUCUUAAUUGGGCGUUAAGUUGCAGGGUAUAGACCCGAAACCCGGUGAUCUAGCCAUGGGCAGGUUGAAGGUUGGGUAACACUAACUGGAGGACCGAACCGACUAAUGUUGAAAAAUUAGCGGAUGACCUGUGGCUGGGGGUGAAAGGCCAAUCAAACCGGGAGAUAGCUGGUUCUCCCCGAAAGCUAUUUAGGUAGCGCCUCGUGAAUUCAUCUCCGGGGGUAGAGCACUGUUUCGGCUAGGGGGCCAUCCCGGCUUACCAACCCGAUGCAAACUGCGAAUACCGGAGAAUGUUAUCACGGGAGACACACGGCGGGUGCUAACGUCCGUCGUGAAGAGGGAAACAACCCAGACCGCCAGCUAAGGUCCCAAAGUCAUGGUUAAGUGGGAAACGAUGUGGGAAGGCCCAGACAGCCAGGAUGUUGGCUUAGAAGCAGCCAUCAUUUAAAGAAAGCGUAAUAGCUCACUGGUCGAGUCGGCCUGCGCGGAAGAUGUAACGGGGCUAAACCAUGCACCGAAGCUGC